CGGUCCGGACAAUCGCUGCAUUAGUAGAGGAAAGUCCAUGCUCGCACGAGCUGUGAUGCUCGUAGUGAUUGUGCUAGCGGAAAAAAUAACGCUAGAUAUGCAGGAGUGCAUAAUGGCGGGAAGAAACCUAAGGGCAACUACGGUCUAUUCCCUGAAAGUGCCACAGUGACGUAGUUUAUUAGAAAUAAUAAAGUGGAACGCGGUAAACCCCACAAGCGAGAAACCCAAAUUUUGGUAGGGGAGGCAGGAGGCGAGAAAUAGAAUCGUCUCAGGCAAGCAUUUGCUUAGAUAAAUAAUUAUCCUAGACAAA
RNAcentral lists this RNase P RNA (310 nucleotides) under Erysipelotrichia bacterium. RNAcentral's name for it is "partial RNase P RNA component class B". It matches the Rfam family "Bacterial RNase P class B". Rfam says of the family: Ribonuclease P (RNase P) is a ubiquitous endoribonuclease, found in archaea, bacteria and eukarya as well as chloroplasts and mitochondria. Its best characterised activity is the generation of mature 5'-ends of tRNAs by cleaving the 5'-leader elements of precursor-tRNAs. Cellular RNase Ps are ribonucleoproteins. Lineage: Bacteria; Bacillati; Bacillota; Erysipelotrichia. The record is from RNAcentral.